AUUGAACGCUGGCGGCAGGCCUAACACAUGCAAGUCGAGCGGAGCGGCGACGGGGUAGUUAAUGCCUAGGAAUCUGCAUGGUGGUGGGGGAUACCGUCCGGAACCGGCCGCUAAUCCCCCAUCCUCUCAGAUAAGCCUGGGCCGGAUUAGCUAGUUGGUGGGGUAAAGGCCUACCAAGGCGACGAUCCGUAACUGGUCUGAGAGGAUGAUCAGUCACACUGGAACUGAGACACGGUCCAGACUCCUACGGGAGGCAGCAGUGGGGAAUAUUGGACAAUGGGCGAAAGCCUGAUCCAGCCAUGCCGCGUGUGUGAAGAAGGUCUUCGGAUUGUAAAGCACUUUAAGUUGGGAGGCGUUACCAACAGAAUAAGCACCGGCUAACUUCGUGCCAGCAGCCGCGGUAAUUC
This 407-nucleotide ribosomal RNA is filed under the name uncultured bacterium. RNAcentral's name for it is "partial 16S ribosomal RNA". It matches the Rfam family "Bacterial small subunit ribosomal RNA", at positions 30 to 526 of the family's 1533-position model. The record is from RNAcentral.